UUCCCAUUGGCUCCUCCGCCUCCCACCAGAAUUCGAGUGAUUGGUUCCAGAAUAGGAGUGACAGAAGCAUCUACCAAUGACAGUGAUUACCGGAAAAGCAAUCCAGCUCAUCUCCUUACCUCCUGCCUCUUUCACCUGGACUCCGCAUAGCAGUCAGAAUAAUGUAUCUAUAAUGCAAGCUGAUCACAUCUCUUCCCUGCUUAACACCUUGAACAUCAAGAUAACAUCCAACUCCUAAGUUCACCAGGGCCUUCAUGAUCUGACAGCUUCUCAUUCUUCAAAUCUCACCACCUCAGAGAUGUCUCUCCUGAUUCUGUCUAAAGUUUUGAUACUCUACCUCCAUUCCCCAACCUCCAACCCCCCAAAACCUGUGGCAUAUAGCUCUAUUUGUCAGAUAGUUUAUUUGAGGGGAUUGCAAACUCUUUAAAAAUCUGUUCUGCUACAAUUGUUCACAGCAUGGUCCACAGCUGCGACUACUCUUGAAAAACACCAACAGAUGAAGAUAUUUAUGAAUUUUAUGGGUGAGGAUUAAGGUGUGGAGCUUGGAGUGGCAGAGCCUUAUCACCUCUAAAAUAGUAUGAGACACUCAGUCCAUUUAGAGGGAAGGGAACAUGGAAGGAGGAAGGUGGUUUCAACAAGCCCAGUCUGUAACUAGCAUUCUCAGAGUCAACUUGUAACUUUCAGUUCAUGAUUCAUUGGAUUGCUCAGGACCUUCGUUUCUUUUCAACUUCUAUCUUUUCUAUAAUAACAUGGAAUGUUAUAGUA
Myotis brandtii (Brandt's bat) is the source of this 765-nucleotide long non-coding RNA. RefSeq lists it as uncharacterized. The transcript is spliced from 3 exons. The record is from RefSeq and is a predicted model, not a curated record. NCBI's taxonomy places the organism in Eukaryota, Metazoa, Chordata, Mammalia, Chiroptera, Vespertilionidae.